This 85-nucleotide unclassified non-coding RNA is filed under the name Epilithonimonas hungarica. RNAcentral describes it as "Chryseobacterium hungaricum Flavo-1 RNA". The record is from RNAcentral. Lineage: Bacteria; Pseudomonadati; Bacteroidota; Flavobacteriia; Flavobacteriales; Weeksellaceae.
UUGCAGCCCGACUUGAGUGGAGCUCAUUUUUUUGUGGCUGGAAAAGCCUGGCAAAAAAAUAGCGGGAACGGAGGACGGAUUAAGC